GCUGAACCAGCAACUUGGAGGAAGGUAUAGCAUUUGCUAAUUAUAUUUAGUUAAAUAUAAUUUCGACUAUGUCGUAUAAAAUUCUAGGUAGAUUAUGAUGAUGACAUUUUCUAUCUAUGUGUCUUGACCAAAUCUCGUGCCAGCAGUCGCGGUAAGACGAGAAAGACUAGUGUUAUUCAUCUUUAAUAGGUUUAAAGGGUACCUAGACGGUAUUUCUAGCCAAAAAGGUACAGAUUUACUAGAGUUUAAUAUGUAGGAGGGUAGUAUUCUGGUGUAGAGAUGAAAUAUUUUGAUACCUUAAGGACUGGUAAAUGCGAAAGCAACCUUAUAUCCAUGUAUAAACUGACGUUGAGGGACGAAGGCUUGGAAAGUAAAAAGGAUUAGAUACCCAAGUAGCCCUUGCAGAAAAUGAUGAAUGUCAUAGAUUAGAUCUAUUUAGUCUAUAAAUGAAAGUGUAAGCAUUCCACCUCAAGAGUAAUGCGGCAACGCAGAAACUGAAAUCAUUAGACCGUUUCUGAAACCAGUAGUGAAGUAUGUUAUUUAAUUCGAUGACCCGCGAAAAACCUUACCACAAUUUGAAUAAUAUUUACAAGUGUUGCACGGCUGUCUUCAGUUAAUGUCGUGAGAUUUUGGUUAGUUCCAUAAAAUUAACGUAAACCCUUGCUUUUUUUAUUCUUUAUAAUAAAGUAGUACUCCGUUAUAUUGGUUAUAUUAAAAGGGAUUAAGACAAGUCAUCAU
RNAcentral lists this ribosomal RNA (738 nucleotides) under Peltula richardsii. Its description in RNAcentral is "SSU rRNA". It matches the Rfam family "Bacterial small subunit ribosomal RNA", at positions 382 to 1196 of the family's 1533-position model. The record is from RNAcentral. Lineage: Eukaryota; Fungi; Ascomycota; Lichinomycetes; Lichinales; Phylliscaceae.